Molecule: ribosomal RNA, 467 nt
Filed under: uncultured bacterium
Lineage: Bacteria
Description: partial 16S ribosomal RNA
Rfam family: Bacterial small subunit ribosomal RNA
Source: RNAcentral
GACGAACGCUGGCGGCGUGCUUAACACAUGCAAGUCGAACGGAAAGGCCCUGCUUUUGUGGGGUGCUCGAGUGGCGAACGGGUGAGUAACACGUGAGUAACCUGCCCUUGACUUUGGGAUAACUUCAGGAAACUGGGGCUAAUACCGGAUAGGAGCUCCUGCUGCAUGGUGGGGGUUGGAAAGUUUCGGCGGUUGGGGAUGGACUCGCGGCCUAUCAGCUUGUUGGUGGGGUAGUGGCUUACCAAGGCUUUGACGGGUAGCCGGCCUGAGAGGGUGACCGGCCACAUGGGGACUGAGAUACGGCCCAGACUCCUACGGGAGGCAACAGGGGGGAAUAUUGCACAAUGGGCGGAAGCCUGAUGCAGCAACGCCGCGUGCGGGAUGACGGCCUUCGGGUGGUAAACCGCUUUCGCCUGUGACGAAGCGUGAGUGACGGUAAUGGGUAAAGAAGCACCGGCUAACUACGU